CCCUUUGGGGUGUGACUGCGUACCUUUUGUAUAAUGGGUCAGCGACUUAUAUUCUGUAGCAAGGUUAACCGAAUAGGGGAGCCGGAGGGAAACCGAGUCUUAAUUGGGCGUUAAGUUGCAGGGUAUAGACCCGAAACCCGGUGAUCUAGCCAUGGGCAGGUUGAAGGUUGGGUAACACUAACUGGAGGACCGAACCGACUAAUGUUGAAAAAUUAGCGGAUGACCUGUGGCUGGGGGUGAAAGGCCAAUCAAACCGGGAGAUAGCUGGUUCUCCCCGAAAGCUAUUUAGGUAGCGCCUCGUGAAUUCAUCUCCGGGGGUAGAGCACUGUUUCGGCUAGGGGGCCAUCCCGGCUUACCAACCCGAUGCAAACUGCGAAUACCGGAGAAUGUUAUCACGGGAGACACACGGCGGGUGCUAACGUCCGUCGUGAAGAGGGAAACAACCCAGACCGCCAGCUAAGGUCCCAAAGUCAUGGUUAAGUGGGAAACGAUGUGGGAAGGCCCAGACAGCCAGGAUGUUGGCUUAGAAGCAGCCAUCAUUUAAAGAAAGCGUAAUAGCUCACUGGUCGAGUCGGCCUGCGCGGAAGAUGUAACGGGGCUAAACCAUGCACCGAAGCUGCGGCAGCGAACGUAUCACUUAAAGCGAUUCAGCGGGUUACGAUUGACGGAGCGAAGCGACGUCAAAGCGUAUACAAAGUCGAGUCGGUUUAAGGAUACGUUCGUUGGGUAGGGGAGCGUUCUGUAAGCCUGCGAAGGUGGCCUGUGAGGGUUGCUGGAGGUAUCAGAAGUG
RNAcentral lists this ribosomal RNA (790 nucleotides) under Salmonella enterica. RNAcentral's name for it is "partial 23S ribosomal RNA". It matches the Rfam family "Bacterial large subunit ribosomal RNA", at positions 582 to 1290 of the family's 2925-position model. The record is from RNAcentral. Lineage: Bacteria; Pseudomonadati; Pseudomonadota; Gammaproteobacteria; Enterobacterales; Enterobacteriaceae.